GCACGAAGUUAGCCGGGGCUUAUUCUGCGGGUACCGUCAUCAUCGUCCCCGCCAAAAGAGCUUUACAACCCGAAGGCCUUCUUCACUCACGCGGCAUGGCUGGAUCAGGGUUGCCCCCAUUGUCCAAUAUUCCCCA
This 136-nucleotide ribosomal RNA is filed under the name uncultured bacterium. RNAcentral's name for it is "partial 16S ribosomal RNA". The record is from RNAcentral.